GUACACUCCUACGGGAGGCAGCAGUGGGGAAUAUUGGACAAUGGGCGCAAGCCUGAUCCAGCCAUGCCGCGUGAGUGAUGAAGGCCCUAGGGUUGUAAAGCUCUUUCACCGGUGAAGAUAAUGACGGUAACCGGAGAAGAAGCCCCGGCUAACUUCGUGCCAGCAGCCGCGGUAAUACGAAGGGGGCUAGCGUUGUUCGGAUUUACUGGGCGUAAAGCGCACGUAGGCAGACUAUUAAGUCAGGGGUGAAAUCCCGGGGCUCAACCCCGGAACUGCCUUUGAUACUGGUAGUCUUGAGUUCGAGAGAGGUGAGUGGAAUUCCGAGUGUAGAGGUGAAAUUCGUAGAUAUUCGGAGGAACACCAGUGGCGAAGGCGGCUCACUGGCUCGAUACUGACGCUGAGGUGCGAAAGCGUGGGGAGCAAACAGGAUUAGAAACCCUUGUAGUCCCAUG
Molecule: ribosomal RNA, 452 nt
Filed under: uncultured organism
Description: partial 16S ribosomal RNA
Rfam family: Bacterial small subunit ribosomal RNA
Source: RNAcentral